GGGAAACCGGGUCUAAUACCGGAUACGACCACCGAACGCAUGUUCGGUGGUGGAAAGUUUUUCGAUCGGGGAUGGGCUCGCGGCCUAUCAGCUUGUUGGUGGGGUAAUGGCCUACCAAGGCGACGACCAGCGGGUAGCCGGCCUGAGAGGGCGACCGGCCACACUGGGACUGAGACACGGCCCAGACUCCUACGGGAGGCAGCAGUGGGGAAUAUUGCACAAUGGGGGAAACCCUGAUGCAGCGACGCAGCGUGCGGGAUGACGGCCUUCGGGUUGUAAACCGCUUUCAGCAGGGAAGAAGCGAAAGUGACGGUACCUGCAGAAGAAGUACCGGCUAACUACGGUGCCAGCAGCCGCGGUAAUACGUAGGGUACGAGCGUUGUUCCGGAAUUAUUGGGCGUAAAGAGCUCGUAAUCCGGUGGUUGGUCACGUCUGCUGUGGAAACGCAACGCUUAACGUUGCGCGUGCAGUGGGUACGGGCUGACUAGAGUGCAGUAGGGGAGUCUGGAAUUCCUGGUGUAGCGGUGAAAUGCGCAGAUAUCAGGAGGAACACCGGUGGCGAAGGCGGAGACUCUGGGCUGUAACUGACACUGAGGAGCGAAAGCAUGGGGAGCGAACAGGAUUAGAUACCCUGGUAGUCCAUGCCGUAAACGUUGGGCACUAGGAAU
Molecule: ribosomal RNA, 668 nt
Filed under: Brevibacterium linens
Lineage: Bacteria; Bacillati; Actinomycetota; Actinomycetes; Micrococcales; Brevibacteriaceae
Description: bacterial SSU rRNA
Rfam family: Bacterial small subunit ribosomal RNA
Source: RNAcentral